GGGGCUGUGGCUCAGUGAUAGAGUGCUUGCCUAGCAUGCAGGAGGCACUGGGUUCUAUCCCCGGCCCCCA
This 70-nucleotide transfer RNA is filed under the name Marmota marmota marmota (Alpine marmot). It matches the Rfam family "tRNA". Rfam says of the family: Transfer RNA (tRNA) molecules are approximately 80 nucleotides in length. Their secondary structure includes four short double-helical elements and three loops (D, anti-codon, and T loops). Lineage: Eukaryota; Metazoa; Chordata; Mammalia; Rodentia; Sciuridae. RNAcentral also lists the same sequence under 1 other name. The record is from Rfam by way of RNAcentral.